CAGCAGCCACGGGAAUACGAAGGGGGCUAGCGUUGCUCGGAAUGACUGGGCGUAAAGGGCGCGUAGGCGGCGAUCAAAGUCAGGCGUGAAAUUCCUGGGCUCAACCUGGGGGCUGCGCUUGAUACUUGGUUGCUUGAGUGGGGAAGAGGGUCGUGGAAUUCCCAGUGUAGAGGUGAAAUUCGUAGAUAUUGGGAAGAACACCGGUGGCGAAGGCGGCAACCUGGUCCUUGACUGACGCUGAGGCGCGAAAGCGUGGGGAGCAAACAGGAUUAGAUACCCGUGUAGUCCCUGUCUCUUAUAC
Molecule: ribosomal RNA, 301 nt
Filed under: uncultured bacterium
Lineage: Bacteria
Description: partial 16S ribosomal RNA
Rfam family: Bacterial small subunit ribosomal RNA
Source: RNAcentral